CGUCUAUAUACGUAUAGCAUAUCAAUAAGCGGAGGAAAAGAAACUAACUAGGAUUCCCUCAGUAACGGCGAGUGAAGCGGGAAGAGCUCAAAUUUGAAAUCUUCAAGGUUCUACCUUGACGAAUUGUAGUUUAAAGAAGUGUUUUCUGUUGGAGUUUUGGUAAAAGUUCUUUGGAAUAGGACAUCAUAGAGGGUGAGAAUCCCGUAUUUGACCAUUAUUUCCAACUUUGUGAUACACUUUCAAAGAGUCGGAUUGUUUGGGAAUGCAGUCCAAAAUGGGUGGUAAAUUUCAUCUAAAGCUAAAUACUGGCGAGAGACCGAUAGCGAACAAGUACCGUGAGGGAAGGAUGAAAAGAACUUUGAAAAGAGAGUUAAACAGUACGUGAAAUUGUCAAAAGGGAAGCGUUUGACACCAGUGUUGUUUUCUCGAAAAUCAAUUAAAAAAGGAUUGGAUUUUGUGUUGUAUUGACUUUAUCAGCUUUCUGCACUUUUUUCUUGUCUUUUUUAAUGCACUUUUCGUUUAACAAGUCAACAUCAAUUUCUUUUGUUGUAAAAGAGUCAUUGGAAGGUGGCCUUCUUUUCGGAGAAAGUGUUUAUAGCCUUUGACUUCUGCAAUCGGAGAGAUUGAGGUCUGCAGCGUAGAUCCUUCGGGGUUAGAUAGCAUUUGUGCUAAGCUAUAGCCUUUCAUAGACAACUUGUUGACUAUGAUCAGUCAUGUAGCUUACUCGCUUAUGUCUAUUUUACCUACGCUUAGGAUGUUGACGAUCAGCUGAGCGCG
This 777-nucleotide ribosomal RNA is filed under the name uncultured Neocallimastigales. RNAcentral describes it as "partial large subunit ribosomal RNA". It matches the Rfam family "Eukaryotic large subunit ribosomal RNA", at positions 26 to 627 of the family's 3401-position model. Lineage: Eukaryota; Fungi; Neocallimastigomycota; Neocallimastigomycetes; Neocallimastigales. The record is from RNAcentral.